CGAAUGCGACCCCAGGUCAGGCGGGAUCACCCGCUGAGUUUAAGCAUAUCAAUAAGCGGAGGAAGAGAAACUUACAAGGAUUCCCUUAGUAACGGCGAGCGAACCGGGAAUAGCCCAACUUGAGAAUCGGG
RNAcentral lists this ribosomal RNA (131 nucleotides) under Petrocodon jiangxiensis. Its description in RNAcentral is "partial 26S large subunit ribosomal RNA". It matches the Rfam family "Eukaryotic large subunit ribosomal RNA", at positions 1 to 125 of the family's 3401-position model. The record is from RNAcentral. Lineage: Eukaryota; Viridiplantae; Streptophyta; Magnoliopsida; Lamiales; Gesneriaceae.